Molecule: ribosomal RNA, 721 nt
Filed under: uncultured bacterium
Lineage: Bacteria
Description: bacterial SSU rRNA
Rfam family: Bacterial small subunit ribosomal RNA
Source: RNAcentral
AGUGGGGAAUACCGUUGGGAAACCGACGACAAUACCGCAUAAUCUCGAGAGAGGAAAGCAGCAAUGCGCUGGAGGAGGAGUCCGCGGCUGAUUAGCUUGGUGAGGUAAUGGCUCACCAAGGCUCAGAUCAGUAGCCGGCCUGAGAGGGCACACGGCCACACUGGCACUGAAACACGGGCCAGACUCCUACGGGAGGCAGCAGUGGGGAAUCUUGCACAAUGGGGGAAACCCUGAUGCAGCGACGCCGCGUGAGCGAUGAAGCCCUUCGGGGUGUAAAGCUCUUUCGGCAGGGAAGAUUAUGACGGUACCUGCAGAAGCAGCUGCGGCUAACUACGUGCCAGCAGCCGCGGUAAUACGUAGGCAGCAAGCGUUGUUCGGAGUUACUGGGCGUAAAGGGUGUGUAGGCGGUUGGAUAAGUGUGGUGUGAAAUCUCCCGGCUUAACUGGGACGGUGCGCUACAAACUGUCUGACUAGAGUAUGGGUUGGGAGAGUGGAAUUCCUGGUGUAGCGGUGAAAUGCGUAGAUAUCAGGAGGAACACCGGUGGUGUAGACGGCUCUCUGGACCAUUACUGACGCUGAGACACGAAAGCGUGGGUAGCAAACAGGAUUAGAUACCCUGGUAGUCCACGCCCUAAACGAUGCAUAUUUGGUGUGGGCCAUUCAUUUGGUCCGUGCCGGAGCUAACGCGUUAAAUAUGCCGCCUGGGGAGUACAGUCGCAAG